UGGCAGAGCCGGUGUGAGGAACAGAAACGAGAGAAAGAGGACAGAAGGAGGAAGGGGAGGGAGUGAGAGUGAAAGAUGCAAAAAGGAAGAAAAGAGGGAGGAAAAAAAAGGACAGAAGAGGAGAUGCUGCGAUUCAACAAAAGAACGCAGGGAAACGUGACCCGAGGGCAGGCAGCGGAGCAGCACACGUGUAGAACCACCGAGCUACCAGCCAGCAUGAGUCACUGCGAACACCAGUCGACCCAGAGAGAACAAUGGCCACCGGUGUGCRAGGUGUCUGUCAAGCGUGCGCACACUGGCACAGGAUGAAGAACUGCAGAUGGAGCAGCGGCUCACUGCAGCACCAUCAAAUUACAACCAACCUGGUCACUGUAUGGCUGUGACUUCAGGAUCCACCAAUCACAUCAACACAAUCCCAAAUUCUGCUCUUGUAUUUGUGAUGCGCUUCUUUAUGACCCCAGUCACAUGAAGAAGCGUGAUUUGUCUCACUAAACUACACAUUUUGAGAUUUAUUGACGCUUUUAUUGAACAAACGGGUAAUAAAAUUGUGAUACGCACAGUUUUUUUUUAAACAUUAAUAUGUAUAAAUGUAUGUAUCACAAUAAAUGGUAAACAAUCAACUAUACGAUAAAUGCCGACCCCUAACUGCAUUGUCCUCUGAAGUUGGA
Molecule: long non-coding RNA, 668 nt
Organism: Poecilia reticulata (guppy)
Lineage: Eukaryota; Metazoa; Chordata; Actinopteri; Cyprinodontiformes; Poeciliidae
Source: RefSeq, a predicted model, not a curated record